This 195-nucleotide non-coding RNA is filed under the name Actinomycetota bacterium. The record is from RNAcentral. Lineage: Bacteria; Bacillati; Actinomycetota.
CAUACUCGCCAAUAUCUAGGUGCCCGAUUAAAGGGAGAAUAGGGAAGCCGGUGAAAUUCCGGCGUGGGCCCGCCGCUGUGACGGAGGACGAAACCUGUAAAAUAUCCACCAUCCAGGAAAAAUUAGCUGGAUGGGAAGGUGCAGGCGCUAGGAUGAUCCCGAAGCCAGAAGACCUGCCUAGAUAUGCCGAUAAAU